AACUGAAGAGUUUGAUCAUGGCUCAGAUUGAACGCUGGCGGCAGGCUUAACACAUGCAAGUCGAGCGGGGGAAGGUAGCUUGCUACUGGACCUAGCGGCGGACGGGUGAGUAAUGCUUAGGAAUCUGCCUAUUAGUGGGGGACAACAUCUCGAAAGGGAUGCUAAUACCGCAUACGUCCUACGGGAGAAAGCAGGGGAUCUUC
RNAcentral lists this ribosomal RNA (203 nucleotides) under Acinetobacter baumannii ABNIH22. RNAcentral describes it as "partial 16S ribosomal RNA". It matches the Rfam family "Bacterial small subunit ribosomal RNA", at positions 1 to 212 of the family's 1533-position model. Lineage: Bacteria; Pseudomonadati; Pseudomonadota; Gammaproteobacteria; Moraxellales; Moraxellaceae. The record is from RNAcentral. RNAcentral also lists the same sequence under 1 other name.